This 252-nucleotide ribosomal RNA is filed under the name uncultured bacterium. RNAcentral describes it as "partial 16S ribosomal RNA". It matches the Rfam family "Bacterial small subunit ribosomal RNA", at positions 524 to 775 of the family's 1533-position model. The record is from RNAcentral.
UACGUAGGGGGCUAGCGUUGUCCGGAAUCAUUGGGCGUAAAGAGCGCGUAGGCGGCCAGAUAAGUCCGGUGUAAAAGUCACAGGCUCAACCUGUGAAUGCCGCUGGAAACUGUCUGGCUUGAGUCCGGGAGGGCGAGUGGAAUUCCGUGGUGUAGCGGUGAAAUGCGCAGAUAUCAGGAGGAACACCAAUGGCGAAGGCAGCUCGCUGGAACGGUACUGACGCUGAGGCGCGAAAGCGUGGGGAGCGAACGG